UUCAAAUGUUCAACUUAAAAAAAAAACCUCCCAUCCUCUGAUUCCCUCCCCAACCCAUUUUUUCACUAUCUCACUCUGAAACUGAAAUGACGCCUCCCCUCAACCUUUUCCCUCUCAUAGAGCCGUUGUCGCUGAUAUCGUCUCAUCGCCGGAUCUUCUACGUCCGCCCGCUCCUACACCUUCUCUAUGUCUCGUUGCUGGUGUGCAUCUUUCAAGCCGCUGUCACAGAGCCAUUGUCGUUGAUAUCGUCCUAUCGCUGGCUCCUCUACGUCCGCCAGCUCUUGCGCUUUCACUACGUCUCUCUGCUCGUUGUCUCGUCAGUCUCUCUGCUCAUUGUCUCGUUGUCUCGUGUGUGUUUCUCAAUCAUCUUCAGUUUUGCGCCUUCCUCUUCAUCUUUCGCCAUCGUCAGUCUCUGCAUAGUCACUGUCUUUUGUCUUGUCUGUUGCCUCCCCCUAUCCAGUCUCUGCUUCACCAUGCAUGGUCUCCCUCUUCUCUGCCUGCUUUUUGCCUUCACAUCAUCAAGUGUUGCCUGCUCCUCUCCAGGAACUGGAUUUUUCAUUCCAAUGAAAAAAAAAGCUAGUGAUUAGCUAAAAAAUUAAAUGAAAAUAAUUUCGCUAGAUAACUAACAGGGGUCCAGCCAACUCCUACCAACUCCUAUUGGGCUGGACCCCAAAGCCUACUAAAAAAAGAUCAUCCCAUUUACCUUAAUUCAAAUUUGACCUGAUACCUUUUCACUUAUCCCCUUUUCACUACGUUCUUAUUCUUCCAGGCGUCAACGACACCAUCUUCAUUGCCGAGCCUCCGUUACCCACAGUCUAUGCCACCGUCCGACAGGCAUCCUCAGAGCCACAUUUGCUACAACCUGCGCAACCGAGUUAUCCCCCACUCGCAAGGAAGCCGCCGUCUUAUCCACCACAACACAGCCUCGCCGCUGCUGCUUCUCAUAGAGGUCCACAUCGCCGAAGUGCCGACGCUGUAGCUUCUCAUUGAGGUCAAUGUCACCGCGUGGAGCCCUUCUCGUCGAAAGGCAUCGACGCUGUACGCCCACCUCCAGGCCACCUAGCAAGUGCCUCUGUGCCAACAUUGCCUCGCCGCCCCGCCGCGUCUCGUAGCCAACCAUCACACGCCGCUGCUGCUUUAAUCACUCAGGUGUUCUCCAAUUGGUCAUCCUAAAGGAGUUCCAAAAGAAAAUAAUGCUCGAAAUAGUUCUGGGUCCUAAGAAUUCAUUCAUUGAACAAGCUUUGAAGGCAUUGAACGACCAUCCUAUACGCCGCAACCAAUCCAGAAACAAGUUUAAAGAGGUGAGAACUCCCUUCACAACACCGAGUAUGAAGACCAUGCUCCAGCAGGCGGGGUUACCUACAAAAAAGCCUUGCAAGGGAGAAAGACAAUAGAAGAAAGAUGCCUAGAAAAUUCAUGAUAAUAUAUACAUGGGAUGCCGUCAUCGAGUGAGACACUUUUGAUACAUUUUCCUUAUUUUAUUGUGUUUAUUCAGUUACACUUUGGGUACAUUUUUCUUUUUUUUUUUUAAAUCCUACUCGGCAUGUUUUUUCGUGUAGGUACCUGAUUAUUUUUGCAAAGAUUUAAGUGGACGUUACUUCUGUUAAGUAUCGG
This is a non-coding RNA of Arachis ipaensis, 1614 nucleotides long. The record is from RefSeq and is a predicted model, not a curated record. NCBI's taxonomy places the organism in Eukaryota, Viridiplantae, Streptophyta, Magnoliopsida, Fabales, Fabaceae.